Molecule: ribosomal RNA, 442 nt
Filed under: uncultured bacterium
Lineage: Bacteria
Description: partial 16S ribosomal RNA
Rfam family: Bacterial small subunit ribosomal RNA
Source: RNAcentral
CCUACGGGUGGCAGCAGUGGGGAAUAUUGGGCAAUGGGCGCAAGCCUGACCCAGCAAUGCCGCGUGAAGGAAGAAGGCUUUCGGGUUGUAAACUACUUUUAAGAGGGAGGAGCAGAAGACGGUACCUAUUCAAUAAGCCACGGCUAACUCCGUGACAGCAGCCGCGGUAAUACGUAGGUGGCAAGCGUUGUACGGAUUUACUGGGUGUAAAUGGCGUGCAGCCGGGAAGACAAGUCAGAUGUGAAAUCCCCGGGCUCAACCGCGGAACUGCAUUUGAAACUGUUUUUCUUGAGUACUGGAGAGGUCAUCGGAAUUCCUUGUGUAGCGGUGAAAUGCGUAGAUAUAAGGAAGAACACCAGUGGCGAAGGCGGAUGACUGGACGGCGACUGACGGUGAGGCGCGAAAGCGUGGGGAGCAAACAGGAUUAGAUACCCUAGUAGUC